RNAcentral lists this transfer RNA (96 nucleotides) under Planctomycetes bacterium DG_20. RNAcentral describes it as "tRNA-Sec". It matches the Rfam family "Selenocysteine transfer RNA". The record is from RNAcentral. Lineage: Bacteria; Pseudomonadati; Planctomycetota.
GGAGGUGAUUGGCGGCUGGUGCCGCUCCUGGUCUUCAAAACCAGCGUGGGGCUUGAACAAGUCCCGGGUGGGUUCGAUUCCCAUUCGCCUCCGCCA